Aedes albopictus (Asian tiger mosquito) is the source of this 71-nucleotide non-coding RNA. The record is from Rfam. Lineage: Eukaryota; Metazoa; Arthropoda; Insecta; Diptera; Culicidae.
GGCUCGAUAGCUUAGUUGGAAAAACACUUGUCUAGCAAAUAAGGGUCGUGAGCUCAAAUCUCACCUGGCUG